UACUCCUACCGGGGGGCAGCAGUGGGGAAUAUUGCACAAUGGGCGCAAGCCUGAUGCAGCCAUGCCGCGUGUAUGAAGAAGGCCUUCGGGUUGUAAAGUACUUUCAGCGGGGAGGAAGGCGACGGGGUUAAUAACCCUGUCGAUUGACGUUACCCGCAGAAGAAGCACCGGCUAACUCCGUGCCAGCAGCCGCGGUAAUACGGAGGGUGCAAGCGUUAAUCGGAAUUACUGGGCGUAAAGCGCACGCAGGCGGUCUGUUAAGUCAGAUGUGAAAUCCCCGGGCUUAACCUGGGAACUGCAUUUGAAACUGGCAGGCUUGAGUCUUGUAGAGGGGGGUAGAAUUCCAGGUGUAGCGGUGAAAUGCGUAGAGAUCUGGAGGAAUACCGGUGGCGAAGGCGGCCCCCUGGACAAAGACUGACG
RNAcentral lists this ribosomal RNA (420 nucleotides) under Pantoea sp. RNAcentral's name for it is "bacterial SSU rRNA". It matches the Rfam family "Bacterial small subunit ribosomal RNA", at positions 334 to 745 of the family's 1533-position model. The record is from RNAcentral. Lineage: Bacteria; Pseudomonadati; Pseudomonadota; Gammaproteobacteria; Enterobacterales; Erwiniaceae.